UGCUGCUCUCUCACCAAGGAGACCAGCAUUCUGAGGAGAAGGAUGGGUGGCACUUCCCUCCCUGACUCUGCCUGGGGCUCUGCCCUGCUCUGUUGGGUUGCUGUCUUUCUCCUGGGAACAAGUGCAGCAAGUACUGGGGUUGUCCAGUCUCCAAGACACAUAAUCAAAGAAAAGGGAGGAGGGACCAUUCUGAAAUGUAUUCCCAUCUCUGGACAUGAUAAUGUGCUCUGGUACCAACAGACUCAGGGGCAGGAACUGAAGUUCCUCAUUCAGCAUUAUGAAAAAAUGGAGAGAGAGAAAGGCAGCAUCCCCAACCGAUUCUCAGUGCAGCAGUUCAGUGACUAUCACUCUGAGAUGAACAUGAGUGCCUUGGAGCUGGAGGACUCUGCUGUGUACUUCUGUGCCAGCUCACCACAGCCAUGCAGGGUUACGGGCUUUCUGUACUUAAUCUUUCUGUUCCAGAUGGUGAUGUGCUAGAGAGGGUUGGAAGCUAAGGUCACAUAUCCUUAGCCUAGGUUCAGAAAUCUUCUAGCUUUUUACC
Molecule: non-coding RNA, 541 nt
Organism: Meriones unguiculatus (Mongolian gerbil)
Lineage: Eukaryota; Metazoa; Chordata; Mammalia; Rodentia; Muridae
Source: the annotation of a RefSeq genome assembly